GGAAAUGUCUAUAAUUUAAAUACCCUGAUUACAUGAAAGCUUUAAGAGGUCAAAAUUAGAGAUUAUGUUGAAAGUUGACAAAAUUUUCUGGUUUUCAACCAUAUGUGGUACAGUGUUUGGGCGACAUUAACCAUUAAUAUAUCUGCACUUAAUGUUUUUUUUUAUCCUUAAAACCUCCACAUCAUUUGGUCUAAGACUCUGUAGCUGUAGG
This 211-nucleotide long non-coding RNA is filed under the name Mytilus galloprovincialis (Mediterranean mussel). Lineage: Eukaryota; Metazoa; Mollusca; Bivalvia; Mytilida; Mytilidae. The record is from RNAcentral.